This 2642-nucleotide long non-coding RNA is filed under the name Mytilus galloprovincialis (Mediterranean mussel). Lineage: Eukaryota; Metazoa; Mollusca; Bivalvia; Mytilida; Mytilidae. The record is from RNAcentral.
UGAAUUCUCUUGAGAAAGUUAAGUCAUUUACACUCUCUUAUAAAUAUUUCCUCGUAUAUCAUAUACAGGAAACGAUUGAGUGUAAGCAGAUAUCUAAUUAAUGUGUCUCAUGUAGUGGGUGAAACAAUUGCAAGAACUCGUUAGGACUUUUUCAUUAGCUGUUUAUGAAUUGAACUACGAACAUUAGUGAAGCAUUUUAAGGGAACUAUUUCUUGUAGUGGCGUAUUUGAUACAUAUUAUUUCGUUUGAAAAUGUAAGUAUGUCUCUCUUUAUAUAUGUAAAUGCGUAUAAACAGAUACAAGACAAUAUGGUUAAUGCCAAUGAAACAACUCUCCAUCUAAGUCAAAAUUUGUAAAAAAAAAACCAUUAUAGGCUAUUUAUAGGCUAACGUACGGUAUUCGACAUGACCUUGGGUCAACACCUAACACCAAGCUAUAAGCCCCCCCCCUCCCCCAAAAUAAAUAAAUAAACAAAUAAAUAAAAAAAUAAAAAAAAAAUAAAGAAGAAAUACUAGUGAGAAAACAUUUAAACGAGAAACCAUCGUUAGCAUGGUUUAACAUUUAUCAACAUAUAAAAAUUACAAGUCAGGAUUUUGUCUUAGGUUUACACAAAACAGAUAUGUUAUUUAUACGAAUGAUAUAAUAUGAUUCUGCAGAUUUUAAUUUUAAUCAGUUUUUGUAGUUGGAUUGCUGUUUUUUUUUAAAUUUAUUUACGUAUCUAUUUGAAUUUUAGCAAUGGAGCACGUAGCAAAGUUUUUAAAUGCCGUCAUUGUUCUACCAUUCACAGCUGGAGAUGCUACUGAAAACCAACACACAAGUUCUUAUAUACGACCGUACGAUGGUAGUAUCAGCGGAAUAAUUAUUCUUUCAAGCGUCUUGGUGAUAGCAUUUCUUGCAAUGUUUGGAAUACGAUUAGUGGACUCAGACUUUUACAAGACCAAACCAUAUUUAACAAUGCAUUCAUAUCUUUAUGUCACACUCAUCCUAUCUUUAGUUGUUUUUAUAGCGCAUUUCAUCAUACACCGAAUUAAUCGCGCAGAACGUUCAAGAAAAUCUGACGCAAUAGCCAAAUUGAAACUUGGAUUUUUAUGGAUUUAUACAAUUGGAAGUAUUUUGUAUGCCUUGGCAAAGAUAAUCAGAAUUCCAUGCAAAGAGAAAAUAGUCAAUCAAUAUAGAAGCGUUGGGUGUAUAAACAAAAACCUAACUUACUACAAUGGAUAUGAAGAGGCUUACAUCAGUUAUCAUUGCACUCAAAUUUUGUUUUAUUUUCUCCAGUCUUCUUUUAUCCAUUUCUUCAUACGUUGCUGCUUUAGAAAUUCAUGGAAAUUCUAUUAUAGCCUUGUCUUGAUAGUUCUGGCAAAUAUGUCACAAUGGGCGCAUUAUUUUUCUGGUGUAUACAAAGACAAAGAUAAAAGAAUCUAUAACUUAAACUGUUCUAUUAGUAAUAUUUCAAUCAACAGCUGCUACGGUGAAACAGUGUUGAUAAAGAUAGAGCCAUACCUAAUACCAGUUGAAAUGGAGUAUUUCCUUUUAUCGAUGAUUUUUAUUGCUGAACUUUGGCCAUCAAAUACCAGUUACACACAAGUAGUGAAUAUUAUUGAAACAGAUCGCGCAAAUGAAUAUACGCCUUUUAAAUCGUUCACAAAUAAAUUAACAAGAGUGGCUGUGUGUAGGUCAAAUAGUAUGUGGACCACUCUGUGCGUUAGUUGUGUAGUUAUAUUAUGUCUUCCUAGUUAUAUUUUUGGAUACCUGGCAUCAGCAGAGGGCGUGCAGAAGGCCCAAUCCGCCAAUGUCAAAAUAAAAACUGCAGAUAUACUAUAUGAUAUAUUUUUAUCAUUGAUCAAGACAACUUUUUUGAUAAUAAGUUUUUAUAUGAUUUCACAAUCGUCAUAUUUUAGGCCCCUUAAACGAAAGGAAGGUUUCCAUUUUCAUCAUAAGAUGAUAAGUGCUAGUUUCCUAGGUUCCGUUGGAUAUUUAUCAUUACUUAUUUUUGCAAGCAUAUAUGGUGAAAAAGCAAAUUUGUUAAUCGCUCAAAAAAUUCUCACAAUAAUAGAACUGUACUUUCAAUUAAUUUGUAUUCUCCAAUUACACAACUAUGAAAAAUAUCAACGAGGCGUUGGGGAGUAUAUUUAUCUUGCACUGUCAAUAUUCAAUCUUUGCGACUGGAUUAAUGACAGCUUUUUUGGAGCUGUUUCCGCAUAUGACAAAGAAGUUUUACAAUACGUAUAUGAAUUAACAACUCAGAGACUCAUUACUAAUUUUUUGUUUCCCUUUUUAAUCUUCUUUAGAUUUGAAUCAUUCGUCAUUAUUUAUGGUAUUUUUCGUCAAACCUCGUCUGAUAACAUUGAUAUCAAGAAUACGGAACAUUUACUUUUUGAUGAGAUUUGAAUGUAUACAUGUACUAGUAUAUAGUAUACAUGUACUAGUAUAUAGUAUACAUGUUGUAUAAACAUGAGUGUGAUGUUAAUCAUGUAGAUGAUGGAUGCUUACUUAUUUAAAAGUAAAUGGGAAUGAACUCCCAACCGUUUUAGUGUAAACUAACAUGUAAUUUUCUCUACACGGAAGAUAGUCAGACCUAAGUAUUUACAUAUAUUAUGUUUUGUUUUGUCAUAUUGAUAAUUAUUUUAAUAAAUGUUGUAAUAU